UAAAUCUAGUGAAUAUAUUUUAUCUCAAAUAAAAAAAAAAAAACAUAAAUUCGACUUGAACCUAAAAAAAAAGCAACAUCUCAUGUUGUUGCCUAAAUUGAUCUAUAUAGAACUUGGAUUCUUUACCCCAAUUUGUCAAUAAUGCUUCAUUCAUUCAUCAACAAUUGUCACACAUUCUUAAGCCUUGAGGGGCAAGUCUCUGUUUCCCUUCCUUUUUUUCCCUUGAAAUGCUAAAUAACAGAUGUGUCAAAUGAAAGGGUAGGCCAAGGGCCAAGUCAGGCAGUGUACUAAUGAGCUUGAAGAAGGAACCGCACUCUGCUCCACCUGACACCUGCAUCAUACAUUACAUGUCUCUCCAUCUCUAAUCAAUCUUCACUUCAUACCUUAGCAAUUUUUGCAUCAUAACCUGAUUGUUGCCUGAAGGUCCAUUUUACAAACCAAACCAGAUCCAGCAAAAGCAGUAUUUAAUUGCAAGCCCAUCCCUUAAAAUUACAAGCCCAAACCAAUCCCCCUAUCUACAUCACAUCACCACGCCUGACCCGUUACGGAUCAUUCUUACGACACCGUAUCCAGUAAUAUUUAAUUGCAAUUUGGGUGAUAUCAGCCUCGUCAAAACCUACGCAUGCGCAUCUUGGAAACAAACAAUUAGCACAUAUUCUGAUUCUUGACACAAGUACAGUCCCAGAGUGGUGAGUGUGAGGAUGAGGGAGACUUUCACAUCAAUGGCCCAGCAAAUCUCUGUACCUGAAUCUGAGAGGAGGAUUUUGUUUCCAUCAAAGGAAGAUGCUCUCUUACCCUCCUUCUUCGUAUUAUUGCAGGAGCAAUCACAAGGAAAGAGGCUUGGCACUUUUGCUUUGAUAGACACAUUCUCAAGUGAUCAAAGGAGGCUGUAGAGCAUGGAAGGUAGCAGUCGCAGUUCUAAAAGUUCAUCAGGCAAAAACAAAUGUUCGGAUGCUUUGGAAACAAUCGGCAAAGACCCGUCAGAGUUGGAAAAACUACAGAAAGAGCACGAGGAAAAGACGAGAAAGAUUCAAGAACUGAAAAGCCAAAUUGAAGCAGUGAAGCUUCGGUUGGAGAAGAGGAAGAAGGAAGUUCCACAGGAGAAGAUGGAAUCUUUCAACAACUUGACUGAGAAAUACAACAGCAUGAGGGCUCAAUAUUAUGCUUUGUUGGCUGAAAAAAUCGAGGGACUAGAAUAAUAGAAUAGUCUUUGACAGGUGUUAGACUGAAGUAUCAUGUUUCUCUUGUAUAAUUUAGCUGGAUUUCUCUUUAUUGUUUUGUGACAUCAGC
This is a long non-coding RNA of Manihot esculenta (cassava), 1290 nucleotides long. RefSeq lists it as uncharacterized. The record is from RefSeq and is a predicted model, not a curated record. The transcript has 4 exons. Lineage: Eukaryota; Viridiplantae; Streptophyta; Magnoliopsida; Malpighiales; Euphorbiaceae.